Molecule: transfer RNA, 78 nt
Filed under: Sclomina pallens
Lineage: Eukaryota; Metazoa; Arthropoda; Insecta; Hemiptera; Reduviidae
Description: tRNA-Ser
Rfam family: tRNA (bases 10-78)
About the family: Transfer RNA (tRNA) molecules are approximately 80 nucleotides in length.
Source: RNAcentral
AGAUUGAUUAGUUAAUUAGCUUAAGAAAAGCUUGUACUUUGAAAGUACAAUAAGAAGGUUAAAUUCCUUCAUUAACUU